GAUGAACGCUGGCGGCGCGCCUAACACAUGCAAGUCGAACGGUUAAAGCACCUUUUAGGUGUGUAUAAAGUGGCGAACGGCUGAGUAACACGUGGGCAACCUGCCCUCCUCUUGGGGAUAGCCUCGGGAAACCGAGGAUAAUACCCGAUACUUCAAUGUGGCCGCAUGACGACAUUGAGAAAGCUUUUGCGGAGAAGGAUGGGCCCGCGGCCUGUUAGCUUGUUGGUGGGGUAGAGGCCUACCAAGGCAAUGAUGGGUAGCUGGGUUGAGAGACCGACCAGCCAGAUUGGGACUGAGACACGGCCCAGACUCCUACGGGAGGCAGCAGUGGGGAAUCUUGCACAAUGGGCGAAAGCCUGAUGCAGCGACGCCGCGUGCGGGAAGAAGGCCUUCGGGUUGUAAACCGCUUUCAGCAGGGACGAGGCGAAAGUGACGGUACCUGCAGAAGAAGCCCCGGCUAACUACGUGCCAGCAGCCGCGGUAAUACGUAGGGGGCAAGCGUUAUCCGGAUUCAUUGGGCGUAAAGCGCUCGUAGGCGGUCUGUUAGGUCGGGAGUUAAAUCCGGAGGCUCAACCUCCGCCCGCUCCCGAUACCGGCAGACUUGAGUUUGGUAGGGGAAGGUGGAAUUCCUAGUGUAGCGGUGGAAUGCGCAGAUAUUAGGAAGAACACCAGUGGCGAAGGCGGCCUUCUGGGCCAUAACUGACGCUGAGGAGCGAAAGCUGGGGGAGCAAACAGG
RNAcentral lists this ribosomal RNA (736 nucleotides) under uncultured Atopobium sp. Its description in RNAcentral is "bacterial SSU rRNA". It matches the Rfam family "Bacterial small subunit ribosomal RNA", at positions 28 to 776 of the family's 1533-position model. The record is from RNAcentral. Lineage: Bacteria; Bacillati; Actinomycetota; Coriobacteriia; Coriobacteriales; Atopobiaceae.